GCUGGGCGUGGUGGCGCAUGCCUGUAGUCCCAGCUACUUGGGAGGCUGAGGCAGGAGAAUUGCUUGAACCGGGGAGGUGGAGGUUGCAGUGAGCUGAGAUCACGCCACUGCACUCCAGCCUGGGUAACAGAGCGAGACUCUGUUUCAA
Molecule: unclassified non-coding RNA, 148 nt
Organism: Papio anubis (olive baboon)
Lineage: Eukaryota; Metazoa; Chordata; Mammalia; Primates; Cercopithecidae
Rfam family: Metazoan signal recognition particle RNA
About the family: The signal recognition particle (SRP) is a universally conserved ribonucleoprotein. It is involved in the co-translational targeting of proteins to membranes.
Source: Ensembl